CCCACUUCCAGCCAGACAUAAUCCCUCCAAGUACUGUAUGUACCAUCAGCAGCGCGGUCAUGGCACCGACCGUUGCUACCGCUUUCGUCAUGAGGUCCAAAAUCUCAUCGACAAUCGGACGAUAGCUCCACCUUCAGCCCCCGAUGACCAAGUACCUCAUCCACAUCUCAAUCUGAUCCACACACUGGCCGUCUCUUACGACCCCAGCGUAUACAUCACCCCGGCCCAUCUACCCAAGCCUGAGGUGUUUAUCCCGGAAAGCAUGGACUUAUGCAUGAUGGGUGCAUCUGAACCCUAAUUAUCUCAAACCCGUGAACCCACUACUUCUGAGCUGAUGAAGAUGAUCGAAGAUCUUCAGAGAACUGUGGCAGAUC
RNAcentral lists this small RNA (374 nucleotides) under Camellia sinensis. RNAcentral's name for it is "transcribed RNA". Lineage: Eukaryota; Viridiplantae; Streptophyta; Magnoliopsida; Ericales; Theaceae. The record is from RNAcentral.